This 605-nucleotide ribosomal RNA is filed under the name [Candida] sp. 'davisiana'. Its description in RNAcentral is "Candida sp. 'davisiana' partial large subunit ribosomal RNA". It matches the Rfam family "Eukaryotic large subunit ribosomal RNA", at positions 48 to 664 of the family's 3401-position model. Lineage: Eukaryota; Fungi; Ascomycota; Saccharomycetes; Saccharomycetales. The record is from RNAcentral.
AAGCGGAGGAAAAGAAACCAACAGGGAUUACCUCAGUAACGGCGAGUGAAGCGGUAACAGCUCAAAUUUGAAAUCUGGCCGCAAGGUCCGAGUUGUAAUUUGUAGAGGAUGUUUCGAGCAUGGUCUGGCCUAAGUUCCUUGGAACAGGACGUCAUAGAGGGUGAGAAUCCCGUAUGCGGUCAGGUGCCUACGCUCAUGUGAAACUCCUUCGACGAGUCGAGUUGUUUGGGAAUGCAGCUCAAAAUGGGUGGUAAAUUUCAUCUAAAGCUAAAUAUUGGCCAGAGACCGAUAGCGCACAAGUAGAGUGAUCGAAAGAUGAAAAGCACUUUGGAAAGAGAGUUAAACAGUACGUGAAAUUGUUGAAAGGGAAGCGCUUGCAACCAGACUUGCGCGCGGCUGAUCAUCCGGGCUUCUGCCCGGUGCACUCGGUCGCGCUCAGGCCAGCAUCGGUUUUGGUGGCGGGAUAAAGGCCUUGGGAAUGUAGCUCCUCUCGGGGAGUGUUAUAGCCCAGGGUGCAAUGCCGCCUACCGGGACCGAGGACCGCGCUUCGGCUAGGAUGCUGGCGUAAUGGUUGUAAGCGACCCGUCUUGAACCACCGGACCCCA